GUCACAAAUUACACAGGCACGUCUAGAAGCAGCUCGAUUUACUACUAGUGGUCAAGCGCAUCUUGUUGUUGUUUUGGCACUGUGUUGUUGUUGACAGCUCAAGAAAUGUCUCAUUUCGCAUUCAACGACAAUUCGGUUUUCCGUUUUUUUUUUUGC
This is a non-coding RNA of Caenorhabditis elegans, 156 nucleotides long. The record is from Ensembl. NCBI's taxonomy places the organism in Eukaryota, Metazoa, Nematoda, Chromadorea, Rhabditida, Rhabditidae.